UACGUAGGGGGCUAGCGUUGUCCGGAAUCAUUGGGCGUAAAGAGCGUGUAGGCGGUCCGGUAAGUCCGCUGUGAAAGUCGGGGGCUCAACCCUCGAAUGCCGGUGGAUACUGUCGGGCUAGAGUGCGGAAGAGGCGAGUGGAAUUCCUGGUGUAGCGGUGAAAUGCGUAGAUAUUGGGAGGAACACCAGUGGCGAAGGCGGCUCACUGGACCGGUACUGACGCUGAUGCGCGAAAGCGUGGGGAGCAAACGGG
This 253-nucleotide ribosomal RNA is filed under the name uncultured bacterium. Its description in RNAcentral is "partial 16S ribosomal RNA". It matches the Rfam family "Bacterial small subunit ribosomal RNA", at positions 524 to 776 of the family's 1533-position model. The record is from RNAcentral.